AAGGUUUCACCCCAAAAGGAAUUGUUGUUUAAAACCCCCGAUAUAUGCUCCAGGGACGUUUUGGUGCCCCGAAUGAAAACCUAAAACCUACUGCCUAUUGGCCGUCGCGGGUUUAGAUAAAGCAGAGAAGAAUUUUCAAAACUUAACUUUCCCGUUGGUUCACGAACCUGAUACUGCUCUAAAAAAUUUGCUAGUUAUAGCACGUCCUAAUUGCAGUACUCGAAUUGGGAGGACGAAGCAGGCAUGGAAACAGUCUACUUCCAUUUUUCUGAAUUUUUCUGAAUUUUUCU
Cinara cedri is the source of this 290-nucleotide non-coding RNA. The record is from the annotation of a GenBank genome assembly. Lineage: Eukaryota; Metazoa; Arthropoda; Insecta; Hemiptera; Aphididae.